RNAcentral lists this ribosomal RNA (301 nucleotides) under uncultured bacterium. Its description in RNAcentral is "partial 16S ribosomal RNA". It matches the Rfam family "Bacterial small subunit ribosomal RNA", at positions 509 to 807 of the family's 1533-position model. The record is from RNAcentral.
CAGUCGCCGCGGUAACACGAAGGGUGCAAGCGUUACUCGGAAUUACUGGGCGUAAAGCGUGCGUAGGUGGUGGUUUAAGUCCGUUGUGAAAGCCCUGGGCUCAACCUGGGAAUUGCAGUGGAUACUGGGUCACUAGAGUGUGGUAGAGGAUAGUGAAAUUUCCGGUGUAGCAGUGAAAUGCGUAGAGAUCGGAAGGAACAUCUGUGGCGAAGGCGACUAUCUGGGCCAACACUGACACUGAGGCACGAAAGCGUGGGGAGCAAACAGGAUUAGAUACCCCCGUAGUCCCUGUCUCUUAUAC